Molecule: ribosomal RNA, 1747 nt
Filed under: Triticum aestivum (bread wheat)
Lineage: Eukaryota; Viridiplantae; Streptophyta; Magnoliopsida; Poales; Poaceae
Description: partial small subunit ribosomal RNA
Source: RNAcentral
GUUUUUCCCUUUGGACCGGCCGGGUAGUCUGGGGAAGCUGGCCAAAGUAGGGGUGCGGUGCUUGAAGGAGGGGUGGGGGUGGUUCGUUGGUCUCGGUGGUGGCGCGGGCGUACGGGUGGCCGGCGGCCUCUUUGGCGGAGGAGAGGGCGCGAGGGCCCGUGGCCUCGGCGGCGGAGCGACCGUGCCAACGCCGGUGCCCCACGAGGUUAGGGUGGGCGCGCCAGUGGCCGGUGCCGGGGUCAGCGGCCUAGGACGACGACGUCAGUCCCGGGAGAGGUGGCCGAGGACGGCGACGUCGACUGGAGAGGAAGCACGAAGAAGAAGUUGACGGCGUUGGUUGGGGUGCAGGUUGGCGGCGACGCUGUAACUACCCUCCAGCCUCUAUAGAUGACAUCACCACCUCUGUCCCCCACCCCCUCCCGCCUCGUGCCAAGGUGCUGUCUCCAGGCAGUGCCACUGUGCCUUCUUCCGACCGCCGUCCUAGGCAGUGCCGCCUCCAGGUAGUACACAGCGAGACAAACAAGAACCGCCGCCGCUCCGAGGGGAACGGUGGUGUGUCGGAGGAGGGUCACUCCGGGGUGGCGGCGUCGUCAGUUGUGCAAGUGGGGACGGUGGAGGCCGGCAAGUUGAUGUGUCGGGGCUCUGCAAGCAGUGGAGUCGGUGGGCCAAGGGUGAUGACGUCGCGGGUCUGCUCCGGGUACAGGAAGGUCCGAGUAUGAAAACUAAAGUCAGACAGGUAGCAAUACGUGGGUUAAAUAAGUAUCUCUACCAGUGACUACGAACGGUACAAUACGAUGACGUCCAAUCCGUUCCGUUUUUACACGACUUUGUGUGAGUGUGUCCAUAAACCAAGACCUUUAACCAGACUCAAACCGUUCUGACGACGAAGUAGAAACGUCGGUAGGUACAUACUAUUGAUGUCUUUAGGAGUAGGAGGACCCUACAUCUAUGGGGGUGGUUUGGGAGUCGGACCAGGGAUACUGUUAGGUAACAUACCACGAUCGAGACCGGACUAAUUUUGACCCAAUCCUCAUAUACCCCUCUUCAAGGGGCCGAGGUCAAGUCUUAAGUACGUGUCGUUAUAGUCAUCUAUGAAGAGGUUGGGUAUCAUGAUGAAGGUACACUUACUAGUCAUACAGUCCUUGUUCAACUUUCAGUAUAACAAAGGCAAGGAAGUGUGCCCCGUGACCUGAGCCUAUUCAAUCGAACACCCACCGGCCGACAGGAUGUUUGGAGGCUACAUGCUGUAUUUACGCGGUCUAGACAUGUAGGGAAAGUACCGCAAACCAUGGAAGUAAUAAUAACGUCCAAAGUGUGACCCGAAGUACCCUUUAAAGUGAGGUCUUCGGUAUUUGGAAGUCAAGUGUUCUCCUGACUAGUCUACCCCGGAUGUUUAGUAGCGGAUCUUCUGCCGGAACUUAAACCGUAUAUGACGACGAAGCAAGUUAUGAGGUAUGAGUAGUUCAUUAACAAAAAAGUAACUCUCCGAGUACUUCAUUAACAACAAGAGUGUCUAGUGUGGAUUAACCGUGGAGCCACUAGAGUCCCAGGUUCAAGUUGUUCAUAAAGUGAAGUCCUUCUAAACCAUAUAUAUUUAAAAUGUGCCGAAACAACACCUACCUAGUAAACAGAUAGUCUAAACCUUAACUAUGAAACGAGUACGUAUAUACACUUACUUGGAAGAGAUAUAGUUUUUGUCAUAACACAACAAAUAGUAUACCAUACAUGGAUUUUUUAAGAAAACCUG